GCGCCUGUAGCUCAACCGGAAGAGCCGCCGCCUUCUAAGCGGCGGGUUGCAGGUUCGAUCCCUGCCAGGCGUA
Molecule: transfer RNA, 73 nt
Filed under: Humisphaera borealis
Lineage: Bacteria; Pseudomonadati; Planctomycetota; Phycisphaerae; Tepidisphaerales; Tepidisphaeraceae
Description: tRNA-Arg
Rfam family: tRNA
About the family: Transfer RNA (tRNA) molecules are approximately 80 nucleotides in length.
Source: RNAcentral